AGAGUUUGAUCCUGGCUCAGAACGAACGCUGGCGGCAGGCCUAACACAUGCAAGUCGAACGCUGUAGCAAUACAGAGUGGCAGACGGGUGAGUAACGCGUGGGAACCUACCCUUUGGUUCGGAAUAGCUCAGGGAAACUUGAGGUAAUACCGGAUACGCCCUUCGGGGGAAAGAUUUAUCGCCAAAGGAUGGGCCCGCGUCGGAUUAGCUAGUUGGUGGGGUAACGGCCUACCAAGGCGACGAUCCGUAGCUGGUCUGAGAGGAUGACCAGCCACACUGGGACUGAGACACGGCCCAGACUCCUACGGGAGGCAGCAGUGGGGAAUAUUGGACAAUGGGGGCAACCCUGAUCCAGCCAUGCCGCGUGAGUGACGAAGGCCUUCGGAUUGUAAAGCUCUUUUGGCGGGGAAGAUAAUGACGGUACCCGCAGAAUAAGCCCCGGCUAACUUCGUGCCAGCAGCCGCGGUAAU
RNAcentral lists this ribosomal RNA (470 nucleotides) under uncultured soil bacterium. RNAcentral describes it as "bacterial SSU rRNA". It matches the Rfam family "Bacterial small subunit ribosomal RNA", at positions 8 to 524 of the family's 1533-position model. The record is from RNAcentral.